GAUGAACGCUGGCGGCGUGCCUAAUACAUGCAAGUCGAGCGAACGGACGAGACGCUUGCUUCUCUGAUGUUAGCGGCGGACGGGUGAGUAACACGUGGAUAUCCUACCUAUAAGACUGGGAUAACUUCGGGAAACCGGAGCUUAUACCGGAUGAUAUUUUGAACCGCAUGGUUCAAAAGAGAAAGACGGUCUUGCUGUCACUUAUCGAUGGAUCCGCGCUGCAUUAGCUAGUUGGUAAGGUAACGGCUUACCAAGGCAACGAUGCAUAGCCGACCUGACAGGGUGAUCGGCCACACUGGAGCGGAGACACGGUCCAGACUCCUACGGGAGGCAGCAGUAGGGAAUCGUCCGCAGUGGGCGAGAGCCUGACGGAGCGGCGCCGCGUGAGUGAUGAAGGUCUUCGGAGCGUAAAACUCUGUUAUUAGGGAAGAACAUAUGUGUAAGUAACUGUGCACAGCUUGACGGUACCUAGUCAGAAAGCCCCGGCUAACUACGUG
Molecule: ribosomal RNA, 497 nt
Filed under: uncultured bacterium
Lineage: Bacteria
Description: partial 16S ribosomal RNA
Rfam family: Bacterial small subunit ribosomal RNA
Source: RNAcentral